This 486-nucleotide ribosomal RNA is filed under the name uncultured bacterium. RNAcentral describes it as "partial 16S ribosomal RNA". It matches the Rfam family "Bacterial small subunit ribosomal RNA", at positions 28 to 523 of the family's 1533-position model. The record is from RNAcentral.
GAUGAACGCUGGCGGCGUGCCUAAUACAUGCAAGUCGAGCGAAUGGAUUAAGAGCUUGCUCUUAUGAAGUUAGCGGCGGACGGGUGAGUAACACGUGAGUAACCUGCCCUUGACUCUGGGAUAACUGCUAGAAAUGGUCGCUAAUACCGGAUAUGACCCUCGGAGGCAUCACCAGGGGGUGGAAAGCAUUUCGGUCAAGGAUGGACUCGCGGCCUAUCAGCUAGUUGGUGAGGUAACGGCUCACCAAGGCGACGACGGGUAGCCGGCCUGAGAGGGUGACCGGCCACACUGGGACUGAGACACGGCCCAGACUCCUACGGGAGGCAGCAGUGGGGAAUAUUGCACAAUGGGCGCAAGCCUGAUGCAGCAACGCCGCGUGAGGGAUGACGGCCUUCGGGUUGUAAACCUCUUUUAGUAGGGAAGAAGCGAAAGUGACGGUACCUGCAGAAAAAGCACCGGCUAACUACGUGCCAGCAGCCGCCGUAA